GGGAGCUAUCUGCAGUAUUCCAAAUCCGUUUAAAAAACCGCCGGGCGGCGGUGGAAGCCCUGCAAAGUUGGCCAAUACUUGAAAUUACUGGUGUGCGGCAUCUCCCCCCAAGUGUCCCACCAGUGAAGGUACCGAGGAUCGCGUACCUUAUUGUUACACUCCUAAUGGUCUUGACCCGGAUUCAUCCCCCAGAACCCGG
This 199-nucleotide small RNA is filed under the name Pseudomonas knackmussii B13. RNAcentral's name for it is "RgsA sRNA". It matches the Rfam family "RgsA sRNA". Rfam says of the family: P16 sRNA appears to be conserved across several Pseudomonas species and Azotobacter vinelandii. In these species it is consistently located downstream of a predicted TatD deoxyribonuclease gene. Lineage: Bacteria; Pseudomonadati; Pseudomonadota; Gammaproteobacteria; Pseudomonadales; Pseudomonadaceae. The record is from Rfam by way of RNAcentral.